Perca flavescens (yellow perch) is the source of this 416-nucleotide long non-coding RNA. RefSeq lists it as uncharacterized. Lineage: Eukaryota; Metazoa; Chordata; Actinopteri; Perciformes; Percidae. The record is from RefSeq and is a predicted model, not a curated record. The transcript is spliced from 3 exons.
AUUUUAUUUUGAAAUCUUUAACUCGCAUGCUUUUAUUUUGAAAGCGCAAUACAGCGUCUUGCCACCGGCCCGCCCCCUCAACGGCAGACUGUUUGGGAAGCGGAGUCUGCAGCUGGCAGUGGCGACAGGUAGUCAGAAGUUAAGAUGAAAAGACAGCAGCAGCUCACUUUAACUGAUUUCUUUCUCAUGGGGAAGAAAAGAAAGAAAGGAAAUAGAUCAGAUGAAGUUCAGCUGGAAACUAACAGUGGUGACACUGGAGAGGGUGAUGCAGGGAGAGCUGCAGUGUUUGUACCUGAGAGUGUCCAGUCUCCAGAGAGGAUCCUCCAGUCCCGCUGACAGUAGCUUCACUCCUGAGUCUCCUGGAUGAUUGUAGCUCAGGUCCAGCUCUCUCAGAUGGGAGGGGUUGGAGCUCAGAG